Molecule: ribosomal RNA, 1523 nt
Filed under: Enterococcus faecium
Lineage: Bacteria; Bacillati; Bacillota; Bacilli; Lactobacillales; Enterococcaceae
Description: partial 23S ribosomal RNA
Rfam family: Bacterial large subunit ribosomal RNA
Source: RNAcentral
AUAAGGGCGCACGGUGGAUGCCUUGGCACUAGGAGCCGAUGAAGGACGGGACUAACACCGAUAUGCUUUGGGGAGCUGUACGUAAGCUAUGAUCCAGAGAUUUCCGAAUGGGGGAACCCAACAUCUUUAAUAGGAUGUUACGAUUGUGUGAAUACAUAGCACAUUCGAGGUAGACGCAGAGAACUGAAACAUCUAAGUACCUGCAGGAAGAGAAAGAAAAUUCGAUUCCCUGAGUAGCGGCGAGCGAAACGGGAAAAGCCCAAACCAGCAAGCUUGCUUGUUGGGGUUGUAGGACUCCAAUAUGGUAGUUCUUUCAGAUAGUCGAAUGACUUGGAAAAGUCAGUCAAAGAGGGUAAAAACCCCGUAGACGAAAUGUGGAAGACACCUAGGAGGAUCCUGAGUACGGCGGAACACGAGAAAUUCCGUCGGAAUCCGGGAGGACCAUCUCCCAAGGCUAAAUACUCCCUAGUGACCGAUAGUGAACCAGUACCGUGAGGGAAAGGUGAAAAGCACCCCGGAAGGGGAGUGAAAUAGAACCUGAAACCGUGUGCCUACAACAAGUCAAAGCCCGUUAAUGGGUGAUGGCGUGCCUUUUGUAGAAUGAACCGGCGAGUUACGAUUGCAUGCGAGGUUAAGUUGAAGAGACGGAGCCGCAGCGAAAGCGAGUCUGAAUAGGGCGUUUGAGUAUGUAGUCGUAGACCCGAAACCAUGUGAUCUACCCAUGUCCAGGUUGAAGGUGCGGUAAAACGCACUGGAGGACCGAACCCACGUACGUUGAAAAGUGCGGGGAUGAGGUGUGGGUAGCGGAGAAAUUCCAAACGAACUUGGAGAUAGCUGGUUCUCUCCGAAAUAGCUUUAGGGCUAGCCUCGGAAUUGAGAAUGAUGGAGGUAGAGCACUGUUUGGACUAGGGGCCCAUCUCGGGUUACCGAAUUCAGAUAAACUCCGAAUGCCAUUCAUUCAUAUCCGGGAGUCAGACUGUGAGUGAUAAGAUCCAUAGUCGAAAGGGAAACAGCCCAGACCACCAGCUAAGGUCCCAAAAUAUAUGUUAAGUGGAAAAGGAUGUGGGGUUGCACAGACAACUAGGAUGUUGGCUUAGAAGCAGCCACCAUUUAAAGAGUGCGUAAUAGCUCACUAGUCGAGUGACCCUGCGCCGAAAAUGUACCGGGGCUAAACAUAUUACCGAAGCUGUGGAGUACACCUUUAGGUGUAUUGGUAGGAGAGCGUUCUAAGGGCGUUGAAGGCAGAUCGUGAGGACUGCUGGAGCGCUUAGAAGUGAGAAUGCCGGUAUGAGUAGCGAAAGACAGGUGAGAAUCCUGUCCACCGAAUGACUAAGGUUUCCUGGGGAAGGCUCGUCCGCCCAGGGUUAGUCGGGACCUAAGCCGAGGCCGACAGGCGUAGGCGAUGGAUAACAGGUUGAUAUUCCUGUACCCGUUGUUUUUGUUUGAGCAAUGGAGGGACGCAGGAGGCUAAGGAAUGCAGACGAUCGGAAAUGUCUGUCCAAGCAGUAAGUCUGAAGAGGAGU